Molecule: long non-coding RNA, 915 nt
Filed under: Homo sapiens (human)
Lineage: Eukaryota; Metazoa; Chordata; Mammalia; Primates; Hominidae
Description: HSALNT0350609
Source: RNAcentral
GCUCUGAGCACCAGCUCUGCCCCUAGCAGCUGCUGGGCUGGGGCAGGAAGGGGGAGAGUCCCCAUGGCCCCAGCAGCAAGCCCCUGCCUCUCUCCUGUCCGGCUGCUGCCCCACUCUGAGGCCCAGGUUCUCUUCUCCCAAGAGCGAGUGCGUUGGGAUCCAGACCUCGAGUAACCCUGUGCGAUGGCAGGCCUUCACCCUGGGACUGGCCAAGGGCCCUAGCCCCUUCAUCAGAGGUCACCCAUGACUCUCCCGCCCUCAUCCGUUUCUGCACAUUCCUCGCCAUGCCCAUCUCCCUCCUGCCCAUCCCGGAGCCCACCGGACUGCACAGCCAGCAUCAGCACAGCCUGUCCUGCUGAGUGGGGCUGCCUGCAGUCCAUGGCACGAGAUAGAGGCAGAACCUGGAGGCAGGCCGAGGUCGCCGCUACUCCUGGCCACUUCCAGACCACCCUGCCACCAUCCUCCCUUCAGUCCACGGUCCAGACUUCCUGGAAGGCACCUUGCAGCCUUCGUUUGCCGAAUUGUGAGAUGCGUUUGCUCACCGGCCUCCUCCCGCUGAGCGUCCCUGGUGUCUGACCCACCUCUGUUUCCUUCUGUAUGCACAGGUGUUUGUUGCAUGACUGAACGACAUUGAGGAGGGGACACGGCUCAGUAGAAACUUCCUUUAAGAUGCAUACAAGCUGCGGCAAAGCAAAGUCAAGGUCACCCCAUCUGGAAGCUACCUAGACCCCAGCAAUGUUACCUGACCUGUGACACCUUUGUUCCUGUGUCCUCCUCUGUGCCGCCCAUGGUGAAUGUGGCUUCUCUGUCUACAUGGAUGCACUCCCACCACACUGGGAGCUUCUGGGGCACAGGAGUCCUGCUUUACUUCCUAUGUUGAGCCCAGGUAGGUGGGGUGGGGGUGCUUAGAAGGCA